CUCCCCUCCCUCCCCUUCCCCUACUGGCUCACGAGGAGAGGGACUGUGAUUGUUCGCUUUACACGUCACUCUUUGUGACGUACCACAGCGGGGCGGGAGAAAAGGGGGCGGGACGAAGCGCAGCGGCAGAGGCUGAAACUAGUGACCGAGUAGGGGUUUUUGCGCAGGCGCGUACAGUUGAAGCGCACACCUGGGUUUCUUCCUUUCCCCGCAUCCCUCUUGCCACCUGGGUCGGGUCUUUUAGCGCAGUGUGGGAGCGGCCUUGGAGUGGAGCAUAGAUGGGGCCGGAGGGCGUUGUUUCCCCUGGUUGAGGAGAUUUCCCUCUUUCAGGGCACAAUUUUCACUGAUUUACUACAACUACACUUUUUUUGUGAUAUCUCCGCCCCAAGGACAUUUCACAGCGUCUUAUAAAGAUCUUUCUGCCUGCAGAGCUCUUCACUUCUUUUCUGCCCAUACCCUCGUACCCUCAAGGCAUUCCAUCGCAAGCUUAUUUAUUGCUUUUCCAGCAUCUAAAUUCUUAUCAUAUUGCGAAAGCCAUCCUGAGACAAAAGAGCAAGGCUGGAGGCAUCACUCCGAGCAACUUCAAAUUACACCACAAAGCGUCAGUAAUCAAUACGGCAUGGUAGUGGCAGAAAAACACACAGAC
Molecule: long non-coding RNA, 646 nt
Organism: Pteropus alecto (black flying fox)
Lineage: Eukaryota; Metazoa; Chordata; Mammalia; Chiroptera; Pteropodidae
Exons: 3
Source: RefSeq, a predicted model, not a curated record